Molecule: long non-coding RNA, 218 nt
Filed under: Carica papaya (papaya)
Lineage: Eukaryota; Viridiplantae; Streptophyta; Magnoliopsida; Brassicales; Caricaceae
Description: long non-coding RNA (CPAP_LNC000080)
Source: RNAcentral
UUCUUUCUCCAAAAACACUGCCUUUCAGAAAACAGCAAAACAGAGGCUGUUGCAUAACCUUGCUUUGUUUUGCUGUCCCUCUCUCUCAUCAACUUUCUCUCUCUAAGUUCUCUCAUUCACAGAGCUUCCUUUGAAGCUUAUUUGCUUUCGAUCAACAAGUGGUAUCAGAGCCCUUAUCUUAAGGGACCGGUAAACCAACAUACCCUCGAAAACUCGAU